RNAcentral lists this long non-coding RNA (5311 nucleotides) under Prunus persica (peach). RNAcentral describes it as "long non-coding RNA (PPER_LNC002563)". Lineage: Eukaryota; Viridiplantae; Streptophyta; Magnoliopsida; Rosales; Rosaceae. The record is from RNAcentral.
UACUACUGAACCUUUUGUAAUUCUUAUGAUGAUAAGAGCAAACAUCUCUCUUUCAAGUGGACGUAGGCUAUAUCAAGUAGCUGAACCACUAUAAUUCUGUGUGUCUUAUUCUCCUUAUUUCCCUUUAUCUAUUUCUUCAUGGUAUCAGAGCAGGACUCUUGAGUAUCUUGUCUCUUUGACUUCUCAUGGGUGUUUCAUCUGACAAGGCUUCUGUCUUUACCAUGGAUGUCGAUGGUAAUCCUAAUCUUCGUCUCUGUUCAGUGCUUUUAAAUGGGUUUAAUUAUAUUGCUUGGUCAAGGGCUGUUAUGUUGGCUCUUGGAGGAAGAUCGAAGCUUGGUUUCAUCAAUGGAACCAUUCGAGCACCAGAGGCUAGCGAUCCAAAGUUUGAGGACUGGUUCCUUCAUCAAAGGAAAUCAUCUCAUCAUCAACGCAAUCAUCUGCAAUCUCUCAUCAAAGUCAACCUUGAUUUUUGCCUUCCUGUCAUAGCUGAUCUGGAUUGAUUCUCUUCAUCAAUCCCAUUGUAUUUACCUUAUCUAGACAACCUGGAUUGAUUCUUUACAUCAAUCCUGUUAUAUUUACCUUAUUUAGAUAUUAUCAAUUUGUAUAUAAUAGUCAUUCCGUGUAUCAAUCAGAUAUCAAUGAAAUAUACUAUUCAUUCUUAAUAUCUUUAUGGUAUCAUAGCCCUAAGGCUCCAACGGGCAUCCUCUGUUCCUUUUUUUUUCUUACAGCAGUCUAUACUCAUGGCUCCUGAAUCCUCUGAUAUAUCCACCCCACUCAUCACCAACACCAACUCCAACACCCUAUCCUCCCUAAUCACCAUCAACGCUGCUGCACAACUUCCCGUCAAGCUUACCCCUACAAAUUACCCAUCUUGGCGUGCCCAGUUUAACGCCCUCCUUAUUGGCUAUGACCUCAUGGGCUAUGUGGAUGGUUCUUCUACAUGCCCACCAGACACUCCAGCCGCGCCUCGCGCCCUUUGGAUUCGUCAGGACCAGCUGCUCCUCCAUGCUAUUCUUGCAUCCGUAUCACCGCAAGUAAUAUCCCUUAUUGCCUCCGCCAAGACCUCCAAGGAGGCGUGGGACAAACUGCUCCAUCUCUUUGCUAGCAAAGCACGUGCUCGUGUUCUUGGUCUCAAGGAACGCCUUACUCUUAUGCGUCGUGAGGAUAAGCCUGUCUCUCAGUAUUUGCAAGAUGUUAAGGUUAUCACCGAUGAACUUGCCAUCAUCGAUGUCCCCCUUUCUGAUGAUGAUCUUCUCCUUUACAUUCUCAAUGGUAUUGGUUCUGAAUUGAAGGAGAUCGCUGCUGUUGUUCGUUCCCGUGACACCUCUAUCUCAUUCGAAAAUCUUCAUGAUAAGUUGGUUGAACAUGAAGCUGCCCUUACACGUGCCGACGCUCCAGUUACCACACCUGUCAUCACUGCUAAUGUCACUCAAAGCUCCCAGCGAGCCCCCACCAACCGUGGUUCUCGCUCCCACAACUACAAUCACAAUCGUGGUUCUUCUAGCUUCCGCAACAAUUACCGUGGUUCCUCUGAAUCCACCUUGCCUUCACCUACUGACAACGGUCGUCGUUCAAACAAUACUACUGGCACUGGUUAUCGUGGCUAUUGUCAAUGGUGUGGUAUACAAGGUCAUAGUGCCAAACGUUGUCCCCAGCUUCAAUCUGGCUCCCAAAGUCAGCCAGUGGUCAAUUCUACCUACCAUGGCGGCCACAAUGCCUCUCCCACAUGGUUGCUUGAUUCCGGUGCUUCUCACCAUGUUACCUCCAAAGUCACCAAUCUCUCCGAUGUCUCCACAUAUGCUGGCCCUGAUGAAAUCAUUAUUGGUAAUGGUUCAGGUUUGGGUAUAACUCAUGUCGGUUUAUCCUCUCUCACUACCCCCUCCUCCAAAACCUUUGCCUUAUCUAAUGUUCUUUGUGUUCCUUCCAUUAAGCAAGAUAUUAUUUCUAUUUCCAAAUUUAACAAACAAAAUAAUACGUCUAUUGAACUUUUUCCUGAUUUCUUUCAUGUCAAGGAUCUGAGCACGGGGGCGGUACUUCUUCAAGGCCCGAAUAAGGACGAUGUGUACGAGUGGUCCUCCCAAUCCCUCCGUCAACCUCAGGCCAUGGUGGGUGUGGUGGUCUCCCCAAAUUUGUGGCACCGGCGUCUUGGUCACCCACAUUCUAAAACUCUUCACUAAGUUCUUCGUUCCUCUUCCAUUCAUGUGUCCUCCAAAUUGUCCGAGUCUCUUUGUCAUUCAUGUCAAUGUAAUAAGAGCCAUAGGCUCCCAUUUGGUACUUCUUCCCUUCAAAGCAAUGGUCCGUUAGAGCUCCUUUAUAGUGAUGUUUGGGGCCCUGCCCCUUAUUCUUCCAUUGAUGGCUUUUCCUACUAUCUUAUUUUUGUUGAUCAUUUUACCAAGUACAUAUGGCUAUACCCUCUCAAAAAGAAAUCAGAUGUGUUUUCCACCUUCACCACCUUUAAAGCCCUUGUUGAAAAUUAUUUCAAAACUAAAAUCAUCACCUUAUUUACUGAUGGUGGAGGGGAAUUUGUCAAACUCAAAAACUUUCUCUCUUCCGCUGGCAUCUCUCAUCUCAUCACACCACCACAUACUCCACAACACAAUGGUGUUGCCGAACGACGGCAUCGUCAUGUUGUCGAAACCGGUCUCACCCUUCUUCAUCAAGCCUCAUUACCUCUUUCCUAUUGGUCAUAUGCUUUUCAAACUGCUGUCUACCUCAUAAAUCGAAUGCCCACUCCCAUCCUUAAAAAUGUCUCACCAUAUACACAACUUUUUCAUCAACAACCCAAUUACUCACGUCUUCGUACCUUUGGAUGUCUAUGUUUUCCAUGGCUACGGCCUUACAACUCCAACAAGUUACUUCCUCGUUCCCGCGCGUGUCUUUUUCUUGGUUACUCCUCCAAUCAAAGUGCCUACAAAUGUCUUGAUCUCUCAUCAAAUAAACUUUUUAUCUCUCGUCAUGUCCAAUUUGAUGAGUCCACUUUCCCUCUUGCUAGUGCCCAUAAUUCCACUUCUUUUGUCCCCUCUCCUACUUCCACCUCUUGGUUUCCUCCUGUUACUCUUAUUCCUUUCCAAGCAGCCCCCAUGCCACCACCAUCGGCUACCACCUCCUCACCGACUGCACCAUCCACAUCGUCCUCCGCUGCCUCUUCUGCCUUGGAGCAGCUCUGCCCCCCUGCGCACAUCCCACCUCCAGCCCCUACUGUCUCUCCACUUGCGGCACAAAACCCACCCUCCUCUAACCCACCUCAUACUACUCAUACCCCUUCACAAACCAUGACCCCAACCCAUUUCCCUUCCAAUCCGACCCCCACUGAACCAGAAACCCAACCUCCCCAGCCAUCCCCUAUCCGUACCUACCUCAGAAACCCAAAUAGACUCGUUCUUACCUUCCCAGCCCCUGACCCAUCGCCUCCCCCACCAUCUUCUAUCUCACAACCCAUGGUUCCCGAUCACCAAAUGGUGACGCGUGCCAAAGCCGGUAUUAACAAGCCCAAUCCUCGGUAUGCUUUAGUUGCCACCAAACACCCCAUACCCUCAUCCGUUGAACCGACAUGUGUUUCUCAGGCCAUUAAAGAUCCCUUUUGGCGAGCUGCCAUGUCUACUGAGUUUAAUGCGCUCAUUAGCAAUGGAACUUGGGAGCUUGUUCCAUCUGACUCUACUCAGAAUCUCAUUGGUUGUAAAUGGGUAUUUCGUAUCAAACGACACCCAGAUGGCACUAUUGACAGGUACAAGGCCCGUUUGGUCGCCAAGGGCUUUCAUCAGCGCCCCGGCUUCGAUUUCUCAGAAACUUUUAGUCCAGUGGUCAAGCCCACCACCAUCCGUGUUGUGUUGCAUCUUGCCUUGUCUAAUGGCUGGCCUAUUCGUCAGUUGGAUGUCAACAAUGCCUUUCUUCAUGGCACACUUAGUGACACUGUUUAUAUGUCACAACCCCCAGGUUUUGUUGAUACCAACCUCCCAUCUCAUGUUUGUAAACUCCGAAAGGCUCUUUAUGGCCUUAAGCAGGCACCUCGGGCAUGGUACAAGGAAUUGAGCUCCUUCUUGCUCUCACAAGGCUUCCGCAAUGCUACCUCUGAUGCCUCCCUAUUUAUUUCUACCUUUGGUCGAAAUGUCAUUUAUUUCUUGGUUUAUGUUGAUGAUCUUAUUGUUACUGGCAACAAUUCUUCUCUUGUAAUGCAGUUCAUUGCCACAUUGGCUCGCCGGUUCUCUGUCAAAGACUUGGGGUCUCUUCAUUACUUCCUUGGUGUUGAGGUUAUUCCCACCACAACUGGUCUCUUUCUCUCGCAACACCAUUACAUUCGUGAUCUCCUACUCAAAGCAAAAAUGGACGGUGCCAAGGAGGUCAGCACUCCAUUAUCUCCUUCUGAUAGUCUUGUGCUCAAUGAUGGGACUCCACCUACUGAUGCUACUCGAUUUCGUCAAAUCAUUGGUGGUCUUUAGUAUCUCAACCUCACACGCCCUGACAUCUCCUUUGUCGUUAAUAAGCUCUCUCAAUUCAUGCAUAAGCCUUCGGAGUCUCACUGGCAGGCCCUCAAGCGUCUCCUUCGUUACUUGAAGGGCACCUUAUACUUUGGUCUUCAUUUGUCUCGUCGCUCAUCUCAUCGUCUCUAUGCUUUCUCUGAUGCCGAUUGGGCCGGCAAUCUUGAUGACCGUAAGUCAACUACUGCCUAUGUUGUUUAUCUUGGUGGCAACCUCAUCUCUUGGAGCUCUCGCAAGCAACGCUCUGUAGCCCGCUCUUCCACUGAAGCUGAAUAUCGAGCCAUUGCUACCACCUCUGCCGAAAUUGCAUGGAUUCAAUCCUUGUUACGUGAACUUGGCAUUUCCCUUUCCGGUGCACCGCUCAUUUCAUGUGACAACAUUGGAGCCACAUUCUACUGUGCUAAUCCUGUUCUCCAUUCUCGCAUGAAACAUAUUGAUAUUGAUUUUCAAUUUGUCCGGGAUCGCGUCAAUAGUGGUCUUCUUCAAGUUUCACAUGUUUCUACUAUUGACCAACUUGCCGACGCUCUCACCAAACCACUUCCACGUCUGCGUUUUCAGCUUCUCCGAUCCAAGAUCGGUGUCUCCGAUGGGACCACCGUCUUGCGGGGGCGUAAAAGGGAACCUUCAUCAAAGGAAAUCAUCUCAUCAUCAACGCAAUCAUCUGCAAUCUCUCAUCAAAGUCAACCUUGAUUUUUGCCUUCCUGUCAUAGCUGAUCUGGAUUGAUUCUCUUCAUCAAUCCCAUUGUAUUUACCUUAUCUAGACAACCUGGAUUGAUUCUUUACAUCAAUCCUGUUAUAUUUACCUUAUUUAGAUAUUAUCAAUUUGUAUAUAAUAG